UGGCGGCGUGCUUAACACAUGCAAGUCGAACGGGACUGAUUGAAAGCUUGCUUUUGAAAAGUCUAGUGGCAAACGGGUGAGUAACGCGUAGGCAACCUGCCUCUAAGAUGGGGACAACAGCCCGAAAGGGCUGCUAAUACCGAAUGUUGUGAGUUUUCCGCAUGGAGGAUUCGUUAAAGAUGGCCUCUACGUUGUAAGCUAUCACUUAGAGAUGGGCCUGCGUCUGAUUAGCUAGUUGGUGGGGUAACGGCUCACCAAGGCGACGAUCAGUAGCCGGUCUGAGAGGAUGAACGGCCACAUUGGGACUGAGACACGGCCCAGACUCCUACGGGAGGCAGCAGUGGGGAGUCUUCCGCAAUGGGCGAAAGCCUGACGGAGCAACGCCGCGUGAGUGAAGAAGGUCUUCGGAUCGUAAAGCUCUGUCGAAGGGGACGAACGUGGGUUCUAUCAACAACGGAACCCAAUGACGGUACCUUCAAGAAAGCCACGGCUAACUACGUGCCAGCCGCAGC
This 512-nucleotide ribosomal RNA is filed under the name uncultured bacterium. RNAcentral's name for it is "bacterial SSU rRNA". It matches the Rfam family "Bacterial small subunit ribosomal RNA", at positions 37 to 518 of the family's 1533-position model. The record is from RNAcentral.